UGGGGAAUUUUGGACAAUGGACGCAAGUCUGAUCCAGCCAUGCCGCGUGCGGGAAGAAGGCCUUCGGGUUGUAAACCGCUUUUGUCAGGGAAGAAACGAGUUUCUCUAAUACAGAGACUUAAUGACGGUACCUGAAGAAUAAGCACCGGCUAACUACGUGCCAGCAGCCGCGGUAAUACGUAGGGUGCAAGCGUUAAUCGGAAUUACUGGGCGUAAAGCGUGCGCAGGCGGUUAUGCAAGACAGAGGUGAAAUCCCCGGGCUCAACCUGGGAACUGCCUUUGUGACUGCAUAGCUAGAGUACGGCAGAGGGGGAUGGAAUUCCGCGUGUAGCAGUGAAAUGCGUAGAUAUGCGGAGGAACACCGAUGGCGAAGGCAAUCCCCUGGGCCUGUACUGACGCUCAUGCACGAAAGCGUGGGGAGCAAACAGGAUUAGAUACCCUGGUAGUCCACGCCCUAAACGAUGUCAACUGGUUGUUGGGAGGGUUUCUUCUCAGUAACGUAGCUAACGCGUGAAGUUGACCGCCUGGGGAGUACGGCCGCAAGGUUG
This 548-nucleotide ribosomal RNA is filed under the name uncultured bacterium. RNAcentral's name for it is "bacterial SSU rRNA". It matches the Rfam family "Bacterial small subunit ribosomal RNA", at positions 355 to 896 of the family's 1533-position model. The record is from RNAcentral.